UCUUAUUGAUAAUAAAAAAAUAUCAUUCUAUACACAUUUAAAACCAUUUUAAGUGCCAACGAAGCCCUAGAUCAACUUGCUUUUUUAUUAAUUAUAAUAAAGAUGGGAGAGAAUAAAAAAACAAUUAAUAAUUGGGAUAUUGUCUAGUAACACUUGUAAACAACAAUGAAAACUUUUUUUUUUUUAGAAUCAGGGAUCCUCUACAUCUAGUCUAGAUCUAGAUUAUAGAUCUAAAUCUAAUCUAGAUAUAGAACAGUAGCCUUCUGGAUCUAGAUAGAUGCACAUCAUAUCACAUGUUUCUUGUGGACCAGUUCCCGGAUCAUAUGGUAAUGCUAGGGCUGAAUAUGACAACCAUUCCACCCCUGAAGUCAAGCAUUUUAUCACAAGGCAACCAUGCAAUGAAAGGAAUCAGUAGCAUGUGUCAGAGAAAACAAUCCAUGACUUUAGCCAUGUCGGAGCACUUGAUAGGCAGUGGUGCACUGGGAGUGCUAGUGUUUGCUUCUGUAAUGUUUUUGUAUAUAUAAGAAAGAUUUGUACAGACUCCACCAUACACAAAAUGUCAGCAGGCAGGAUUGGUGAAGUGAGACAAUUCUGACUUGAUAAUUACUGAUGCAUUAAUCUUCUAUAUGUCCAGGUCAAAUAACAUGAAGGAAAAUUGUAUGACCAGAAGUCAACAUGUCGCUGGGACAUUAUGAAUAAGUUUUGAAAGUAUUUAGUUCAGAUGAUGUUCCUACAUGAAGUCCUAUCAAGUACAUGGAUGAAGACUUGAAUAGAGAACUCAACAGGGCAUUGGGACAUUGGGAUUAAGGUGGUUUUAAGUUAUUAGACCGUUGUAUUUUAGGUCAGUCUUGUUUUGUAAUUUGUUAUUAUGAUUGUGUCCCAAGUAGAGAUGGGAAUCGAACCCAACUUUUAAAGUUCGGGUUCAGUUCGGUUCGGUCAGAUUUAAGUUCGGUUCGGUUCAAUGACGAGUAUAGUUCGGGUUCGGUUCGGUUCGGUCAGGUCUAAAGUUCGGGUUCGGCUCGGUUCGAUGUUAUGAAAUUAUGUCAUAUCAAAAUUAAGUUAUAAGGUUUAAUGCAAUUUAUUAGUUAAAACUUUUUAUUUGAAUUUUUACAUAAAACAAAUACUUUGCAAUAUAUAAUAGGCCUAUGGGCAAUACUUUUUCCAACAUAAUGUUGCCUACAUACAUUUAAAGCGUUGUAAAAAUUUCUUAAUGGAGAUAGAAAUAAAGAUGUGGUAGGUUUUCGCUCAAGUAGGCAAGUGGUUUAAUUCAGGGCGUGACUCGGCGCUAAGCGAAUUUUUUUAAAAGGCUAAUAUCGAUGUGCUUUCUUUCAGAACACACUAUUCAUCAAAAUAAAAAAAAAAAGUCGAGGGCCAUAUUAAAUCUAAUAAUAAAGAGGCAGACCUGGCCAAUAGAAUUAUGCAAGGGACAUUCUAGGUAUUGCGCACAUACUUCUAUAAUGGGCGUGAUCUUUUUAAACAAAUAUUCGUGUAAAGACGUCUCUAUCGAGGAUUUUUUUUCACAUAUAAGUCGUCACUAUUAUAAAUUGCAAUAUACGGAAGAAAUUCGACUAUUCUGAGACAAAAAAAAAUGCAGAAGAAUCACACUAGCGGAGAUGUUUUAAAAUGUUUUCUUCAAAACGUUUUGACCCAUAUUGUGCCUACGCGCCUCGCAAAAAGCAGUCUUCAGUUGACAAGGUCUUAUUAGAAGAUAAAAUGGCACCUCCACUUAAUAUAUUUUAAUUUUUAAACAUGUAAUUAUACUAAUAUUCAGAUAAGUUACACUAAAAAUAAAACUUUUUUUUUCGAUGCUCCCUCUCUUUGUUAGUUGGUCGUUGGUUUGUCGCUUACAAACAGCUAGUACAAUUGAACCAAUAUAGGCAUUUUAUAUUUUUACCGGUAAGGAUAGUAUAGAUGGACUUCUUAUGGUCCGAUAGUUAUGCUGGGCAGGGCACGUAUCCCGUAUGGGAAACGAACGUAUGCCAAAGGCAGUCUUUUUUUUUUUUUUGUGAGCUAAAAGGUGGUCAACGUUACAGAGGCGCCCCAUGGAAACUCUUCAAAGACCAGCUUAGGAGUCAACUUUCCUUAGCUGACAUAGAAGAGAGCACCUGGUUGCACGUGGCCUUAGAACGAGUCAGUUGGAGUUCACUCCCGAAGGCCGCGGGAUACACAUUUGAGACCAAAAGAAAAUCCGCUGCCGGGGACAAACGCAGACGCGAAAAGAAAAACUAAAUCAACCACCUGCGAACAGUGGUUAUGCUUGCCCUGGAUGUGGCAAAAUAUGUAGGUCACAGCUGGGCCUGCACAGCCAUGGGAAAAACUGCAUUCCUCACUAAUCUUCGGACUCGAAGACAAGCCUUAGAAUAACAUUUAAACUUAAUACACUUUCAAAUAAAGUUCUUAUGUGAACAACUCAAUAUAGCCUAACUGUUAUUACAAUAUUCACAUAUUUAACUUGUGAUAGAGAUGUAAUAUUAAUGAAAUAUACUGAUAUUUAAACAAAAUCUAGGUCACCACAAAACAACGUCUUUACUCUUUCAUGUCUCAAGAUUGUUUGCCGUUUCACAUUUGCAUUACACUAAUUUCAUCAUCCUUAAUGCAUAAACACCAAUCAAUCGCUUAACCUCUUCUUAUCGCCACCAGACAACACACACACACACACUCUCUGACACCCCUUUUUGUCAGGAAGUUGCGUCUCCCCAUCCCCCAAUUCAAGGUACUAACCAUCCCCACCCACGGGAGAGGACCCAAAGUUUGAGAAACGCUGCAUUAAAAAUACUGAUGAUCAAUGCAAAACAGAAUAAUAGUAAAAAUAUUCAGGGGCGUAGAUAGGAAUUUUUCAUCAUUUGGGGGCCCGGGAGGGGCUGGACCUCUUUGGGGGCCCCUGCAUUUUGCGUAAUAUUGAAUAUUUGUUGUAAAAAACACUAAUUUGGGGCCCCCCUCAAGUGGGGGCCAGGGGGGGGGGUUACAUUUCUCACCCUCCUCCCUCACCCUUGCUACGCCACUGAUAAUAUUCCAAUAUGGAAUACUUCACAAUUUUUGUAAAAAUAAAUCACUUAAUAGAAGAUAAUUAAAAUUUAUUUUAAACUAGAACACAAAUGAACUUAUUUAUAUCUACACUCUCUAAUCGGCAAAAAAUAUUCUACUCUCAACUAACAGUCAUCUCAAAUAAAAGUGACAAUGUUUUAAUGUUGACUUUCUACUUACUAGGAACUUGAAUCUAGAUCUAGAUCUAAUUAGAGGGCGCCUAUUCGACUCAAAACCAAUAUUGCAAACAGCCCGCGAAAAUUCAAGGUUAGGGGAGAGUCGGCACGUACUGAAAAACCCAUGGUAAUCAAAGCGAGCCGCUUUUUUUUUUUCAAAAUACCACCCUCCCCCCUCCCAAGUUUUCAAAGUAUAAUGGAAUCAUUAGAAUUUAAAUAAAAUAUUGAAUUAAUUUUUAUUUUAAACCCAAAACAUAAAAAAAGGGAUGUAAAAAUUGCAAAAUUAGUUCGGUUAAGAAAAGGAGGGUUCGUUCGGUUCGGUUCGUACCAAGCAGUUUCAAAGUUCGGGUUCGGUUCGGUUUGGUCAUAAGUGAGGUUCGAGUUCGGUUCGUUCGGUUCGGGUUCGGUUUGUUUCCCAUCUCUAGUCCCAAGUCACCUUGUAGGUUUUGUUUGUAAUGUCUGACAGACUGUUGUUCAUCUUGUCUGUGCUUGUUUGACAGCCAUUUAUUAAAAUGUUGUUUUUUACUGGCUUUAAUGUAGUUCUGUUAUGUAUUUAGCUAUUGAGUUGAAAUCUCUAAGAGAGUAAUUCUAAUUCUUUGAGUUUGAAAGUAUUUUUUUUUUACUUCCUUUAAUCAAGUUUUAUUUAAGAAGGUCUUUUCAUUUCAAGUCUAUCUAGUUUGGAAUGUGAAACUAGUUCAUUUCUUAGUUUUCUUUUUUUUUAAUUUUAAAAAGUAAUCUAUAUCAUUAUUUGUUUAAGUUCUAUUAAAUUUUUUUUUUAAGAAUAAUAAAGGUGAAAACAACUUUGAGGAAAUAUUCAUGGCUUUUCAGAAUUCAAUUUAUCACUGAGAUGUUAGGAUAAACAUGAAGUUGGUUUUAAAUAACUGCAACUGUACUAAUAGUCUUAUUUGUUUAUUUCUGUUUUCUGAAAGUUUAUGCAUGUUGAUUUGACUAUACACAUCCUCCCUCAACAUACAACAUGUUAACCUGACAAUACAUAGUUACUAUGACUUACUACAUGUGACCAGACACUACAUUUCCCUAUUACUUACUGCAUUACUUACUGCAUGCUUAACUUACUAUACACUCACAUUGCAUAUCAAAAAUAAUUUUAAUUCUUUGAGAUUUUCAGAAGAAUAAUUAGUUUUUUUCUGAUACGAGUCAAACAACAUGGAGGAAAUUCCAUUUCAAGAACUAAACAUGCCUCCUUGCCAUUGUGAUUGAGGUGAAGUUUUAUCAUUAGACUUUAUUGAAUGUUUCUUCAAGCAAUAUGACAAAAUAAAAACAUUGCAACAUACUGCAUGUUGACUUAAGAAUACAAUUCUUUUUUUGGCUCAUUGCAUAUUGACCUGGCAAUUGUAGGGACUUGUUGCAUAUGGACAUGAUUUCUACAACAUUUAAGGAGACAGAUUGUAUAUUGACCUGGCAAUAGACACAUGUAGGGACUUGUUGCAUAUGGACAUGAUUUCUACAACAUUUAAGGAGACAGAUUGUAUAUUGACAUGGGGUGUAAGGGUGUUGAAAAGGUGAUUUGACAGCCAUAUUCUACUUUAGAAUAGUGAAAAGCCUGAAGUUCCCAUCUACCUAACUCAUGUAUGGCUCCUCAUGCUACACCUCGGCAAACGUCUUGGUUUAUUGGCUGAAUACAUGAGUGAAAACAGUUACUUAACAAAAGGAUUUGUAAAGUAAAUUUUGUAUUGAUAAUUAAUAUUUUUGUUUGUUUUUUUACAGAAAAUAAAAAAAAAAAAUAGAUUACAUUGG
This is a long non-coding RNA of Biomphalaria glabrata, 4958 nucleotides long. RefSeq lists it as uncharacterized. Lineage: Eukaryota; Metazoa; Mollusca; Gastropoda; Planorbidae. The transcript has 5 exons. The record is from RefSeq and is a predicted model, not a curated record.